RNAcentral lists this long non-coding RNA (812 nucleotides) under Elaeis guineensis (African oil palm). RNAcentral describes it as "long non-coding RNA (EGUI_LNC012363)". The record is from RNAcentral. Lineage: Eukaryota; Viridiplantae; Streptophyta; Magnoliopsida; Arecales; Arecaceae.
ACAAUCAUUUAAAUUCUCUCUUUUUCACUUUUUAACUAUUUUGUUAGGUAGGUAUGGCACUUGAAGAAAGAAGAUGGACAGAUGGAUCACUGAAGCAAGAAAAAAAAAAAGACGCAUGGAUAUAUCAUUGAAGCAACAAGAAGAAAGUAGAUAUUGCCAAUCAGGUCUAUACAUUCUCAAGUGUUCCCACCUCUCCUGAUUGCACCAUCUUUGCCGUGUCCCGUGUUUACUCUUCGACCAUAAAAGGUAAGUUUACGCUGUGUAGGUGACCAGAAGUGGGCCUCAAGGAUGCUUUUUUAACAGUGUCGAUGCUUCGCUCGGUACCUUUCAUGUCGUCAGUCGUUGCAAUUGUGGUGAUGGUCAAUGUAGCUGUGGUUGCGAGAGCAUGAUCUUUAUGUGGGAUCGUAACAAGUUAUUGUGUUGUGAUUUUGUGAAGGAGGAAGUAGUUGUGAAGGAGCUUGCCGAGGUAGGAUUUGGUUAAGUGGAAAAAAUCCGAGACGUUUAAGGAGAUGAAGAGGUUCCAUCAAAAUGAAUGGUUUCAUAAAUUUGGAGAGAAGGGCUUCAUCGUGUUUUCAUGUUCUUUCAUUGGAAAAUUCGAUUCACGAGAAUAUGUAAGCAGUUUCAGCUGGUGAUGGCGGGACAACAACUGAAUUUUGCAACGUGAAAGCAGUAUGGCUCGAUCCUCGAUUCAGAAAAGCUUUCUAAGUCAAGAAUAGUUCAUUUGGGGUUAUUUGUUCUAGUAUGGUUUGUCCCAAAAGACCUACAUUUGUCCUCCAGUCAUUAGCAUAAAUGUUUUACCAAUGUUGAAGUGG